GAUGAACGCUGGCGGCGUGCCUAAUACAUGCAAGUCGAGCGAACAGAUGAGGAGCUUGCUCCUCUGACGUUACCGGCGGACGGGUGAGUAACACGUGGAUAACCUACCUAUAAGACUGGGAUAACUUCGGGAAACCGUAGCUAAUACCGGAUAAUAUAUUGAACCGCAUGGUUCAAUAGUGAAAGACGGUUUUGCUGUCACUUAUAGAUGGAUCCGCGCCGCAUUAGCUAGUUGGUAAGGUAACGGCUUACCAAGGCAACGAUGCGUAGCCGACCUGAGAGGGUGAGCGGCCACACUGGAACUGAGACACGGUACAGACGCCUACGGGAGGCAGCAGUAGGGAAUCUUCCGCAAUGGGCGAAAGCCUGACGGAGCAACGCCGCGUGAGUGAUGAAGGUCUUCGGAUCGUAAAACGCUGUUAGUAGGGAAGAACAAAUGUGUAAGUAACUAUGCACGUCUUGACGGUACCAAAUCAGAAAGCCACGGCUAACUACGUG
RNAcentral lists this ribosomal RNA (497 nucleotides) under uncultured bacterium. RNAcentral's name for it is "partial 16S ribosomal RNA". It matches the Rfam family "Bacterial small subunit ribosomal RNA", at positions 28 to 507 of the family's 1533-position model. The record is from RNAcentral.